Molecule: non-coding RNA, 95 nt
Filed under: Rhizobacter gummiphilus
Lineage: Bacteria; Pseudomonadati; Pseudomonadota; Betaproteobacteria; Burkholderiales; Sphaerotilaceae
Description: c-di-GMP sequence
Rfam family: c-di-GMP-I riboswitch aptamer
About the family: GEMM was predicted in a large-scale screen for bacterial structured RNA regulatory elements. Genes associated with GEMM are involved in a diverse array of functions, including chemotaxis regulation, signal transduction, secretion and chitin.
Source: RNAcentral
CACUGCCAAAGGCACACCCGUUGAAAGGCGGGGUCGCAAAGCUUCCGGUCUAACGGCAACGUCCACACGUUGCCCACGACAGCGGGGCCGCCAGA